GCGCGGACGCGCCUAUACUGUAACGGUUGAACAUAACUGUACACCAAGAGCCAAGAAGAGUCAUACUAGUGGAUAUUUUCUUUGCUGGGACACGGUUGCGCUGAACCCUCUCGACGUCAACUUUUAUCGGCUGGAUUCUAGCAUCUAACGUUACGAUUGCCUCUGUUGGGUUUGCUUGAUCAACCAUCGUUUCGAGGACUCUGAUGAAAAUG
Long non-coding RNA from Alosa sapidissima (American shad), 212 nucleotides. RefSeq lists it as uncharacterized. The transcript is spliced from 3 exons. The record is from RefSeq and is a predicted model, not a curated record. NCBI's taxonomy places the organism in Eukaryota, Metazoa, Chordata, Actinopteri, Clupeiformes, Clupeidae.